Long non-coding RNA from Ricinus communis (castor bean), 488 nucleotides. RefSeq lists it as uncharacterized. Lineage: Eukaryota; Viridiplantae; Streptophyta; Magnoliopsida; Malpighiales; Euphorbiaceae. The record is from RefSeq and is a predicted model, not a curated record. The transcript is spliced from 3 exons.
AGCUUGCCUUCGUCGUAUAUAACUGGCGUGAGACUGAGAAUAUAAGUACUUUUUCAUUCAUGAGAAAUGUGCAAGUAUAGUCAAGAACUUGAAGCUGCUGCUAUAAGCAGAUCAAAGGGGAUGAAGAUUAUUGACACGCCACCACUUCACGCCUCUUCUCUUCUUGUCUUCACUGCACAGCCAGAGGGUGCUGCUUAAUUGGCCGUGCAAGCAAGAAGUGGGUUGCUUCUUGCCUCCUAGUCGAGGGACAAGUACUCCUUUGCCUUUACGUGCAUGGUAAGUGAGUUUCCAACAGCUUCAACAAAAAUAACCAAAUUAAACCCAAUCCUUACUGCUAUUACUAUUGCUGCUGUUACUAUAUAUUGCACUUAUUAUUAACUUCUCUCUUACAACUCUUGGACCCAAUAGUUUGUCGCCGGUUGCCACUUGCAUGCUGGAAUUUUGUAAGCUCUCCUUGCAUUUUAAGAAAAUAGAAAUGAUUAUCUUUA